Long non-coding RNA from Carassius auratus (goldfish), 1009 nucleotides. RefSeq lists it as uncharacterized. The record is from RefSeq and is a predicted model, not a curated record. Lineage: Eukaryota; Metazoa; Chordata; Actinopteri; Cypriniformes; Cyprinidae. The transcript has 6 exons.
UAAAGAUCCCGUCUACCUGCUGUGUUAUAAACUGAAAUAGUCGUUCUCACGAAAGAAGUGGCAUAAAGCUUAAGAACGGAAUAUCCUUUUAUCGUUUUCCAGCGUGGAAAAAUAAUAGUGCAAGCCUUGUUUCAGAGGUGACAAAAAGGCUACGAAUGGCAUGGAUAGCAGCGGUAAGGAGGCCAAGAUUACCUUCGACAUCACUCCACCACACAUGAUGGUGUGUUCAAAAGCAUUUUCACCAAGGAAAUUGCUGGCUUUAUAGGAGAAGAUGCCAGACUUUUGUGCAGCCUACGUAAUCGGAUGCUCCAAUCGCCGUAGUCUCAAAACGAGAGCCCGUGGGAUCACCUUUCACCUGUUUCCCAAAACCGGAAAGAUGAGGAGGCAGUGGGAACUUGCCCUAAGAAGAGACGGUUUUGUUGCCUCUGACAGGACACUGCUCUGCAGUGAGCACUUCAGGAGUGAGGACUUUGACAGAACAGGGCAGAAUGUCCGGCUUAAAGAUGGUGUUGUGCCAAACAUUUUCAACUUUCCAGCUCAUCUUCAAAGGUUGGCAACAAGAAGCACAAGCACCUCUAGAAGAGCGGAAGACAUCCUGCCAAUGGACUUGUCUCAGGAUGUACCUCAACAUGAUGUUGGAGUCACUGGAGCGAGGAGUUCGAGCCGCAAGCGUCAGGCCACUGACCACUUGUAUGCAUUCCCUACCAGCUGUCAUUGACACCUUAACAAGCCUGUCAGCUGUAGAUAUGUCCUCUGCAGCAGGAGGAGAAGAUCUUCCAUCCCUAUUUGCUGACAUUCCUGCCCUAGUACAUGACCACAGCUACCUUCCCAUCCACUUUGGUCUUGUGGACAACGCUCCGUGUACAUUUCAGGAUUUGUUGUGCGACGGGCUCUGAAGAAGCUGUCGUGUGAUGUCUGCCAUGCCAGCCUAGGGACAGACGCUGCAUCUGCCAUCAAGGACCAGAGCUACCACCUGCUGACCUUAAAAAACAAUGGAGGUCUGGUGAUU